Molecule: non-coding RNA, 84 nt
Organism: Glycine max (soybean)
Lineage: Eukaryota; Viridiplantae; Streptophyta; Magnoliopsida; Fabales; Fabaceae
Source: Rfam
UGGCUCAUGAUGCUAAGUUAUUUAUCUUAGCGGAUUUCAGUGAGAUUUCUAUCAAUGAUCUGAUUGUUACACACACUGAAGCCA